Molecule: small nucleolar RNA, 134 nt
Filed under: Echinops telfairi (small Madagascar hedgehog)
Lineage: Eukaryota; Metazoa; Chordata; Mammalia; Afrosoricida; Tenrecidae
Description: Small nucleolar RNA SNORA70 (ENSETEG00000022527.1)
Rfam family: Small nucleolar RNA SNORA70
About the family: snoRNA U70 seems to be exclusive to mammals and is a member of the H/ACA class of snoRNA which contain H (ANANNA) and ACA box motifs. H/ACA box snoRNAs are involved in the conversion of uridines to pseudouridines (5-ribosyluracil) a constituent of structural RNAs (transfer, ribosomal, small nuclear, and small nucleolar).
Source: RNAcentral
CUGCAGCCAAUGAAGCCAACUGUCCUCCUCCUCGUGGGGGCCGGUGUGCCAUGGCUGCAAACAGCAAGCCUCCUCAGUAGUGUAUGCAGCCUAUUGGUAUGUAUAGGCUGCCCUAAGGGACCUUGAAGACAACC